GCUCUUUGUGUCAGCACAAUGAUAAGCUCGUUGGACUUCUAAUCCAAAGGUCGUGGGAUCGAAUCCCACCUGGAGUG
Non-coding RNA from Trichonephila inaurata madagascariensis, 77 nucleotides. The record is from the annotation of a GenBank genome assembly. Lineage: Eukaryota; Metazoa; Arthropoda; Arachnida; Araneae; Nephilidae.